CCUACGGGAGGCAGCAGUCGAGAAUCAUUCACAAUGGGGGAAACCCUGAUGGUGCGACGCCGCGUGGGGGAAUGAAGGUCUUCGGAUUGUAAACCCCUGUCAUGUGGGAGCAAAUUAAAAAGAUAGUACCACAAGAGGAAGAGCCGGCUAACUCUGUGCCAGCAGCCGCGGUAAUACAGAGGUCUCAAGCGGUGUUCGGAAUCACUGGGCAUAAAGCGUGCGUAGGCUGUUUCGUAAGUCGUGUGUGAAAGGCGCGGGCUCAACCCGCGGACGGCACAUGAUACUGCGAGCCUAGAGUACUGGAAGGGGAAGCGGAAGUCUCGGUGUAGCAGUGAAAUGCGUAGAUAUCGAGAGGAACACUCGUGGCGAAGGCGGGUUCCUGGACAUUAACUGACGCUGAGGCACGAAGGCCAGGGGAGCGAAAGGGAUUAGAUACCCUGGUAGUC
This 446-nucleotide ribosomal RNA is filed under the name uncultured bacterium. Its description in RNAcentral is "partial 16S ribosomal RNA". It matches the Rfam family "Bacterial small subunit ribosomal RNA", at positions 338 to 795 of the family's 1533-position model. The record is from RNAcentral.